UACAGAGGGUGCAAGCGUUAAUCGGAAUUACUGGGCGUAAAGCGCGCGUAGGUGGUUUGUUAAGUUGGAUGUGAAAGCCCCGGGCUCAACCUGGGAACUGCAUUCAAAACUGACAAGCUAGAGUAUGGUAGAGGGUGGUGGAAUUUCCUGUGUGGCGGUGAAAUGCGUGGAUAUCGAGAGGAACACUCGUGGCGAAGGCGAGCUACUGGACAACAUCUGACGCUGAGGCUCGAAGGCCAGGGGAGCAAAAGGG
This 253-nucleotide ribosomal RNA is filed under the name uncultured prokaryote. RNAcentral describes it as "partial 16S ribosomal RNA". It matches the Rfam family "Bacterial small subunit ribosomal RNA", at positions 524 to 776 of the family's 1533-position model. The record is from RNAcentral.